RNAcentral lists this ribosomal RNA (441 nucleotides) under uncultured bacterium. RNAcentral describes it as "bacterial SSU rRNA". It matches the Rfam family "Bacterial small subunit ribosomal RNA", at positions 954 to 1392 of the family's 1533-position model. The record is from RNAcentral.
GCAUAACGCGAAGAACCUUACCAAGGCUUGACAUCCCCUUGACCGGCACAGAGAUGUGCCCUCUCCUUCGGGAGCAAGGGUGACAGGUGGUGCAUGGUUGUCGUCAGCUCGUGUCGUGAGAUGUUGGGUUAAGUCCCGCAACGAGCGCAACCCUUAUCCUUAGUUGCCAGCACAUAAUGGUGGGCACUCUAGGGAGACUGCCGAUGAUAAAUCGGAGGAAGGUGGGGAUGACGUCAAAUCAUCAUGCCCCUUAUGUCUUGGGCUACACACGUGCUACAAUGGUCGGUACAACGGGAAGCGAAAGAGUGAUCUGGAGCAAAUCCCAAUAAACCGAUCUCAGUUCGGAUUGUAGGCUGCAACUCGCCUACAUGAAGUCGGAGUUGCUAGUAAUCCCGAAUCAGCAUGUCGGGGUGAAUGCGUUCCCGGGUCUUGUACACACCG